RNAcentral lists this ribosomal RNA (538 nucleotides) under Fusarium oxysporum. RNAcentral describes it as "eukaryotic LSU rRNA". The stretch from base 163 to 316 matches the Rfam family "5.8S ribosomal RNA". The record is from RNAcentral. Lineage: Eukaryota; Fungi; Ascomycota; Sordariomycetes; Hypocreales; Nectriaceae.
CGGAGGGAUCAUUACCGAGUUUACAACUCCCAAACCCCUGUGAACAUACCAAUUGUUGCCUCGGCGGAUCAGCCCGCUCCCGGUAAAACGGGACGGCCCGCCAGAGGACCCCUAAACUCUGUUUCUAUAUGUAACUUCUGAGUAAAACCAUAAAUAAAUCAAAACUUUCAACAACGGAUCUCUUGGUUCUGGCAUCGAUGAAGAACGCAGCAAAAUGCGAUAAGUAAUGUGAAUUGCAGAAUUCAGUGAAUCAUCGAAUCUUUGAACGCACAUUGCGCCCGCCAGUAUUCUGGCGGGCAUGCCUGUUCGAGCGUCAUUUCAACCCUCAAGCCCCCGGGUUUGGUGUUGGGGAUCGGCGAGCCCUUGCGGCAAGCCGGCCCCGAAAUCUAGUGGCGGUCUCGCUGCAGCUUCCAUUGCGUAGUAGUAAAACCCUCGCAACUGGUACGCGGCGCGGCCAAGCCGUUAAACCCCCAACUUCUGAAUGUUGACCUCGGAUCAGGUAGGAAUACCCGCUGAACUUAAGCAUAUCAAUAAGCCG